This 429-nucleotide ribosomal RNA is filed under the name uncultured bacterium. RNAcentral's name for it is "bacterial SSU rRNA". It matches the Rfam family "Bacterial small subunit ribosomal RNA", at positions 30 to 461 of the family's 1533-position model. The record is from RNAcentral.
AUUGAACGCUGGCGGCAUGCUUUACACAUGCAAGUCGAACGGUAACAGGGGCUUCGGCCCGCUGACGAGUGGCGAACGGGUGAGUAAUGUAUCGGAACGUGCCCAGUAGUGGGGGAUAACUACUCGAAAGAGUAGCUAAUACCGCAUGAGAACUGAGGUUGAAAGCGGGGGAUCUUCGGACCUCGCGCUACUGGAGCGGCUGAUAUCAGAUUAGGUAGUUGGUGAGGUAAAGGCUUACCAAGCCUGCGAUCUGUAGCUGGUCUGAGAGGACGACCAGCCACACUGGGACUGAGACACGGCCCAGACUCCUACGGGAGGCAGCAGUGGGGAAUUUUGGACAAUGGGCGCAAGCCUGAUCCAGCAAUGCCGCGUGCAGGACGAAGGCCUCGGUUGUAACUAGCUUUGUUACUAGAACGAAAUAGUCUCUGG